UCUCUGCCCAAAGUGGAAGGUGACCU
This 26-nucleotide non-coding RNA is filed under the name Homo sapiens (human). The record is from RNAcentral. Lineage: Eukaryota; Metazoa; Chordata; Mammalia; Primates; Hominidae.